GCCUACGGGGCGCAGCAGUGGGGGAUAUUGCACAAUGGGGGGAACCCUGAUGCAGCGACGCCGCGUGGGUGAAGAAGCGCCUCGGCGCGUAAAGCCCUGUCAGCAGGGAAGAAAAUGACGGUACCUGAAGAAGAAGCCCCGGCUAACUACGUGCCAGCAGCCGCGGUAAUACGUAGGGGGCAAGCGUUAUCCGGAUUUACUGGGUGUAAAGGGGGCGCAGACGGCGAUGCAAGACAGGAGUGAAAGCCCGGGGCCCAACCCCAGGACUGCUCGUGGAACUGCGGGGCUGGAGUGCAGGAGGGGCA
This 305-nucleotide ribosomal RNA is filed under the name uncultured bacterium. Its description in RNAcentral is "bacterial SSU rRNA". It matches the Rfam family "Bacterial small subunit ribosomal RNA", at positions 337 to 659 of the family's 1533-position model. The record is from RNAcentral.